RNAcentral lists this long non-coding RNA (308 nucleotides) under Mytilus galloprovincialis (Mediterranean mussel). The record is from RNAcentral. Lineage: Eukaryota; Metazoa; Mollusca; Bivalvia; Mytilida; Mytilidae.
CAGAUUUUACUGAAUACCAUAAAAUAUCCUUUAUUGGUGAACUAUCUCUUUGAAAUGGUUUUGAAAUAUUUAAAAUGCUGUAGGUGGUGUCAAAUGCUUAAAAUUAUCAAGAUGCAUAUUUAGUAUGCGUUGUGUUACAGUAAUAGCUUCAAUCUAGUAAUGGCCAUGAUCUCUGGAAACCACUGAGGACUUUAUUAGGCAAUAUUAAAAUCUUGAGUAACGGCUUGCGUUUGCUUUUUGUAGUUCUAGUUAUCAACAUCAUGUAUAUAUUUAUUAGUAUUUCCUUAGCAACAACAGCAAGUCAGAAG